GAAGAUAUGUUUUAUUCCUAACCAUCUAUAAUCCAUUCUCUAUGAAAUUCAGCCUGUCUGCCCAAAUUCCUUUGGAAAUACAUAGUUAGUCAACCAACAUAGAAACAAUCAAACUUGAAGUCCUCAACCUGGAAGAUAUGUUUUAUUCCUAACCAUCUAUAAUCCAUUCUCUAUGAAGUUCAGCCUGUCUGCCCAAAUUCCUUUGGAAAUACAUAGUUAGUCAACCAACAUAGAAACAAUCAAACUUGAAGGAUUCUCUAGUGAGAGGUUAUGGAAAUGAUCUAUGUCUACUCUUA
Long non-coding RNA from Saccostrea cuccullata (small rock oyster), 296 nucleotides. RefSeq lists it as uncharacterized. The transcript has 3 exons. NCBI's taxonomy places the organism in Eukaryota, Metazoa, Mollusca, Bivalvia, Ostreida, Ostreidae. The record is from RefSeq and is a predicted model, not a curated record.